RNAcentral lists this ribosomal RNA (781 nucleotides) under uncultured Neocallimastigales. RNAcentral describes it as "partial large subunit ribosomal RNA". It matches the Rfam family "Eukaryotic large subunit ribosomal RNA", at positions 24 to 649 of the family's 3401-position model. The record is from RNAcentral. Lineage: Eukaryota; Fungi; Neocallimastigomycota; Neocallimastigomycetes; Neocallimastigales.
UACGACUACAUAUCAGGCAUAUCAAUAAGCGGAGGAAAAGAAACUAACAAGGAUUCCCUUAGUAACGGCGAGUGAAGCGGGAAGAGCUCAAAUUUGAAAUCUUCAAGGUUCUACCUUGACGAAUUGUAGUUUAAAGAAGUGUUUUCUGUUAGAAGUUGAGUACAAAGUUCCUUGGAAUAGGACAUCAUAGAGGGCUGAGAAUCCCGUAUUUGACCAUUACUUUCCAGCUGUGUGAUACACUUUCAAAGAGUCGGAUUGUUUGGGAAUGCAGUCCAAAAUGGGUGGUAAAUUUCAUCUAAAGCUAAAUAUUGGCGAGAGACCGAUAGCGAACAAGUACCGUGAGGGAAAGAUGAAAAGAACUUUGAAAAGAGAGUUAAACAGUACGUGAAAUUGUCAAAAGGGAAGCGUUUGACACCAGUGUUGUUUUUCUCGAAAAUCAAUUAACGAAUGGCUUGAUUUUGUGUUGUAUUGACCUUAUCAGCUUUCUUCACUCUUUUCGAGUCUUUCUUAAUGCACUUUUCGGUUAACAAGUCAACAUCAGUUCCUUUUGUUGUAAAAGAGUAUUCGGAAGGUGGCUUUCUUUUCGGAGAAAGUGUUUAUAGCCCUGAUACUUCUAGCAAUCGGAGAGAUUGAGGUCUGCAGCGUAGAUCCUUCGGGGUUAGAUACAUUUGUGCUAAGUUAUAACUUUUCAUAGACAACUUGUUGACUAUGUUCAGUCAUGUCGCUUACUCGCUUAUGCUAUUUUACCUACGCUUAGGAUGUUGAGUAGCGACAUACGCAC